Callithrix jacchus (white-tufted-ear marmoset) is the source of this 2707-nucleotide long non-coding RNA. RefSeq lists it as uncharacterized. Lineage: Eukaryota; Metazoa; Chordata; Mammalia; Primates; Cebidae. The record is from RefSeq and is a predicted model, not a curated record.
AAGGGUGGGCUAGGUGCCAAGUGCAGAGGGGAUUUCCAAGGCAGAGCUAGAUGAUGGGCGUAUUCUGGUGACGUAAUUUUCAGGCGGGGAGAGGGAUUGGCAUGUCUGAGCUCCCGGCGAGGCAACUAGCUCCCAAACUGCUGAGAUUACAGGAAUGAACCACCGUGCAUGGCUGAUUGUAUGUAUUUUAAGAAGGACGGAAGUUACAGGCAAACCUCAGCCAGUACACGUAGGAUGUACAUUGGUUCAGUCUGGAAAGGAGGAACAACUCAAAGCAGGGGUUUCCAGUAGAGUCUUCCUUCUACAAGAUACCAUGAAGGACCAAAGAAAAGUAAAAUUUUCAUCUUCAAAAUGAGCUUUCAUCAAAGAAAAAGGAAGAAAGAUGGCUCUAAGGAAGAAAUUAAUGGUGGCAAUGUGUGAAGAGGGGUACAAAGAACAGUGGCACGGGUAUGAUACAAAGAACAGUGGCACGGUGAAUUUAUGAAAAUAACAACACCAGUGCAUCACCAUUGUAGAAAAUGAGAAGAAGACUAACGAGUGCAAAGGAGAAAAGAACACUCAUAGAUAAUCCCACUAUAUACAUAUAAUCACCAUUAAUAUUUCAUUCAGCAAUUCCUGGGAAUGCCUACUGCAUACAGUCUACUCUGCUGGCAGUAUAAAUACAGAAGUGACUAAUACAUACUAUCUGUUCUCAAAGUAGGGCAGAAAAAAGGGAUUUUGCCAGCCUUAUGUAAUGUACAGAUUCAGAAUUCAUCUUAUAUUCUUCAUGCUGUUUUAAGUCUUUUGUAUAAAGCUUAAUAUUAACAUUGUAUGAUAGGAGAGCCCUUCUGCCUGGUCUUUUGCUCUUAGGAAAGUGAAAGCAUAUUACCUAACCAGGGCACCUCAGGAGGUGGGUGGUCUGAGGUGAAGUUUACUGUGAACACCUUUGCCCUGCCCCACAAGCCUGGUACAUCUCAUCUGGGUUCAUCUUUUAAGAUGUCAAAGUACUCGGCAAUGUUUUACAGUAUUUGCCACUAAAAGUGUGUCAUGUAAAUCAAUCAUGGCUUCAAUUUUCCUGUCAGAAUUCAGUAACCUUAAACUGAAGCUUUUAGAAUUAAUCAAAAGAGUAACUCAAUUUAAUUUUUCAUGAGACAGUAACAGUAUGGGGCUUAUCUUCAACUGUUUGAAUUAUAAACAUUUAUUAAUAAAUAUUGUUUAAUAAAUUUUUACGGAAAGAGUUUAAAAGGUGGAUUUUUUUUUAAAAUCUAGUCUUAUUUUUUGCAUAAAUAGCCAGCUGCUUUCCUUUUUCCGCCUGAAGGUGAAGAGAAUUGCACCUCUCUUCAAUGGAAAAUCAGAGUGUCUUCAAUUGAAUAGAUAAUUUAUUCGGUUGUAUUAUUUAAAGACAAACUGCCUACUUAAACUGUUAAUCUUAUGGCAAUGGGCACAGAUCUCCAUAGCCCAGUGUCUAGCAUAUUCUAGGUGCUCAAAAAUUAUUUAGUAAAUAAAUAAAUAUCUGUGUAUAAGAGUAAGGGAGCUAGGCAGAAGGUUUGUCUUGAUUAGUCAUUGCCAUAUAAACAGAAGAAAAAUAGGAAAUAAAGCUGUAAUCUUCCAGGAAGUCUCAAAAAAAUAGUCUUAUCAUUUAGGCAGCCAUUACAAGCUCAUUGAUAAUGUCUUAUAAUCUUAGAAACUAAACAGCAGAAGCGAUAUUUUCCUUUACCACUCCUUUCUUUAUUUUAUAAACCACUUUAUUGAGGAAUGAUUGGCAUAUAAAAGCUGUGCACAUUUAAUAUAUACAUCUUGAUGAGUUUGGGGAUAAGCAUCUACCCAGGAAACUGUCAAUAGCAUCAAGGCCAUAGACAUAUCUAUCACCUUCCAAAGUCUUCUCCCCCUUGAUUAUUAUUGCUGUUUUGUUUUGAUAAAAACACUUAAGACAAGUUCUACCCUCUUAGCAAAUUGUGACUAUACAAUUCAGUACUCUUAGCUAUAGGCACUAUACUGUUCCGGGUGUACAGUAUAUCUCCAGAACUUAUUUAUCACAAAAUUUUCCCAUUUCCAUACAAAACACACAAAAAGUUAUAAAUUCUCAAAGCUUCCCAUCCCACAUUCUUGAUAUAUCCCUGGGGAAAAUUCAUUCAUUUAUUCAUCUAACUAUCUAUGCACACAGUCCACACAUAUUUGUAGAGCAGCUAUUCUCUGCCACAACUUUGACUAGGGAUUGGGAAUACAGACCAGUAAGAAGCAGUUAGUUGUGCUUGCUUUGGAAGCACAUAUGCUAAAAUUGGAAUGACACAGAAAAGAUUAGCAGGGCCCCUGUAAAAAAAAAAAAAGAAAGAAGAAGCAGUUAGUAUUUGUCUUCAAAGAGCUCACAGUCUAAUGGGAAAGAAGGACAUAAAGAGAUAGUUAAAACACCACCAGUUACAGAAAUAACUACUGUUAUUGCAGGCACAUAGAGUAGGGGCUGGCACAAACUUGGGGAGCAAGAAAAAAAAUUAUGAGAAGGCUUCCUGGAGAAGCUAUGCCUGAGCUUAAUUUUAAAGGGUAGUAGGAUGAAGCUACAAGUUGGGAGUAUUCAGGGCCUUUCUAUGCAGAGAAAACCACACAAGGAGUGCAAUGUGGAUAGAGAACAUGUGAGGGUUACCAGGGAGCCCAGAGAUACAAAGCCAGGGAAGUGACAGAAGCUGGAUUGCAAAGGGACUUGUUAAUUGAAAAUUAUUUGAAAACAUCAGUU